Molecule: long non-coding RNA, 353 nt
Filed under: Ananas comosus (pineapple)
Lineage: Eukaryota; Viridiplantae; Streptophyta; Magnoliopsida; Poales; Bromeliaceae
Description: long non-coding RNA (ACOM_LNC029966)
Source: RNAcentral
AAUUUACUUGCGCUAUUAAUUAUUAGUUAAAAAUGUAUAAAACUUAUCCCACCUAUAUAUUACUCUUUGGAUUGACUACCUAAUCUUUAAAAAUUUUAAUUUUACUAUCAGACCUUUUGGUUUUUCUGAUUUGAACCAAUUAGUUACUUUUUAACUUAAAAAUUUAAAUACAUUAUUUAUAUUUAUAAUUUUAAUAAAUAUAUUUUAUACAAUUUACGUAACUAUAGAUUAAUUAAAAUAAACAACUAACUUAAAUUUUAUAUUAAAAAAAUUAAAAAUUAUUAAAAUUAAAUAAAUUGAAAGAUUAAUUGCUAAAAUUAAAGUCGUGAAAAAUUAUCUAGUAGGAUCUAUAA